This 459-nucleotide ribosomal RNA is filed under the name uncultured bacterium. RNAcentral describes it as "partial 16S ribosomal RNA". It matches the Rfam family "Bacterial small subunit ribosomal RNA", at positions 338 to 795 of the family's 1533-position model. The record is from RNAcentral.
CCUACGGGAGGCUGCUGUGAGGAAUAUUGGUCAAUGGACGCAAGUCUGAACCAGCCAUGCCGCGUGCAGGAUGACGGCUCUAUGAGUUGUAAACUGCUUUUGUACGAGGGUAAACCCCGAUACGUGUAUCGGGUUGAAAGUAUCGUACGAAUAAGGAUCGGCUAACUCCGUGCCAGCAGCCGCGGUAAUACGGAGGAUCCGAGCGUUAUCCGGAUUUAUUGGGUUUAAAGGGUGCGUAGGCGGACUGUUAAGUCAGCGGUAAAAGCCCGGGGCUCAACCCCGGCGAGCCGUUUAAACUGGCUGUCUUGAGAUGUCGAGAGGUAUGCGGAAUGCGCAGUGUAGCGGUGAAAUGCUUAGAUAUUGCGCAGAACUCCGAUUGUGAAGGCAGCAUACCGGCGGCGAUCUGACGCUGAGGCACGAAAGCGUGGGUAUCGAACAGGAUUAGAUACCCGAGUAGUC